CUGCGGCAGCGACACUCAGGUGUUGUUGGGUAGGGGAGCGUUCUGUAAGCCUGCGAAGGUGUGUCGUGAGGCAUGCUGGAGGUAUCAGAAGUGCGAAUGCUGACAUAAGUAACGAUAAAGCGGGUGAAAAGCCCGCUCGCCGGAAGACCAAGGGUUCCUGUCCAACGUUAAUCGGGGCAGGGUGAGUCGACCCCUAAGGCGAGGCCGAAAGGCGUAGUCGAUGGGAAACGGGUUAAUAUUCCCGUACUUGGUGUUACUGCGAAGGGGGGACGGAGAAGGCUAUGUUGGCCGGGCGACGGUUGUCCCGGUUUAAGCGUGUAGGUGUGUGUUCCAGGUAAAUCCGGUUCACUUUAACACUGAGGCGUGAUGACGAGGCACUACGGUGCUGAAGCAACAAAUGCCCUGCUUCCAGGAAAAGCCUCUAAGCAUCAGGUAACAUCAAAUCGUACCCCAAACCGACACAGGUGGUCAGGUAGAGAAUACCAAGGCGCUUGAGAGAACUCGGGUGAAGGAACUAGGCAAAAUGGUGCCGUAACUUCGGGAGAAGGCACGCUGACACGUAGGUGAAGUGAUUUACUCAUGGAGCUGAAGUCAGUCGAAGAUACCAGCUGGCUGCAACUGUUUAUUAAAAACACAGCACUGUGCAAACACGAAAGUGGACGUAUACGGUGUGACGCCUGCCCGGUGCCGGAAGGUUAAUUGAUGGGGUCAGCGCAAGCGAAGCUCCUGAUCGAAGCCCCGGUAAACGGCGGCCGUAACUAUAACGGUCCUAAGGUAGCGAAAUUCCUUGUCGGGUAAGUUCCGACCUGCACGAAUGGCGUAAUGAUGGCCAGGCUGUCUCCACCCGAGACUCAGUGAAAUUGAACUCGCUGUGAAGAUGCAGUGUACCCGCGGCAAGACGGAAAGACCCCGUGAACCUUUACUAUAGCUUGACACUGAACAUUGAGCCUUGAUGUGUAGGAUAGGUGGGAGGCUUUGAAGUGUGG
RNAcentral lists this ribosomal RNA (986 nucleotides) under Salmonella enterica. RNAcentral's name for it is "partial 23S ribosomal RNA". It matches the Rfam family "Bacterial large subunit ribosomal RNA", at positions 1200 to 2167 of the family's 2925-position model. Lineage: Bacteria; Pseudomonadati; Pseudomonadota; Gammaproteobacteria; Enterobacterales; Enterobacteriaceae. The record is from RNAcentral.